GGUGGUUAUUGUGUGAUGCACCCCAGAAUUGGGCUCCCUCCUCUCUGGUUCCAGGUGGGUCACCCAAGAACUGCA
Myotis davidii is the source of this 75-nucleotide non-coding RNA. The record is from Rfam. Lineage: Eukaryota; Metazoa; Chordata; Mammalia; Chiroptera; Vespertilionidae.